CUGCUGCAACAACAACAACAGAGUCUCCAACAACAACGACUACAGAGGCUACAACCACAACUUCAGCUAUCGCAACUACUACUACAGCUGCUCCAACAACCACUACAGAGGCUACAACAACCACUACAGAGGCUACAACAACACCUACAGCUGUCCCAACCACAACAACAGUUGCUGCAACAACAACAACAGAGUCUCCAACAACAACGACUACAGAGGCUACAACCACAACUACAGCUGCCCCAACUACAACAACAGCUGCUGCAACAACUACAGAGUCUCCAACAACAACGACUACAGAAGCUACAACAACAACUACAGCUGUCGCAACUACUACUACAGCUACUCCAACAACCACUACAGAGGCUACAACAACUACAGCUGCCCCAACUACAACUACAGUUGCUGCAACAACAACAACAGAGUCUCCAACAACCACUACAGAGGCUUCAACAACGACUACAGAGGCUACAACAAGAACUACAGCUGCCCCAACUACAACUACAGUUGCUGCAACAACAGAGUCUCCAACAACAACGACACAAGAAGCUACGACCACAACUACAGCUGUCGCAACGACUACUACAGCUGCUCCAACAACCACUACAGAGUCUCUAACAACCACUACAGAGGCUACGACCACAACUACAACUGCCCCAACUACAUCUACAGUUGCUGCAUCAACAACAACAGAGUCUCCAACAACAACGACACAAGAGGCUACAACCACAACUACAGCUGUCGCAACGACUACUAUAGCUGCUCCAACAACUACUACAGAGGCUACAACAACCACUACAGAGGCUACAACCACAACUACAGCUGCCCCAACUACAACUACAGCUGCUGCAACAACUACAGAGUCUCCAACAACAACAACAGAGGCUACAACCACAACUACAGCUGUCGCAACUACUACUAUAGCUGCUCCAACAACCACUACAGAGUCUCCAACAACCACUACAGAGGCUACGACCACAACUACAACUGCCCCAACUACAUCUACAGUUGCUGCAUCAACAACAACAGAGUCUCCAACAACGACUACAGAGGCUACAAACACAACUACAGCUGUCGCAACUACUACUACAGCUGCUUUAACAACUAUAGAGGCUACAACAGCCACUAUAGAGGCUACAACCACAACUAUAGCUGCCCCAACUACAACAACAGCUGCUGCAACAACUACAGAGUCUCCAACAACAACGACAGAGGCUACAACCACAACUACAGUUGCCCCAACUACAACUACUGCCGCUCCAAUAACAACUACAGCUGCCACAACCACAACAACUGAUACACAAACCACAACUACAGUUGCACCAACGACUACAGAGUCUCCAACCACAACUACAGAGGUAUCUACAACAACUACAGCUGCUAUAACCACGACUACAGCUCCUUCCACAAUAACUACAGAGGCCCUUACCAGCAGAACCACAGCUACAUCCCCUGAAACUACAACCCCUGCAUCUACAACCCCUGAAACUACAACCCCUUCAACCACAACCCCUGCAACUACAAUCAUUGCAACUACAACCCCUGCAAGUACAACCACAGCAUCAGCAAUCACUGCAACUACAAUCUCUGCAACUACAGCUAUUCCACUCAGUACGGUGCCUGUGGUAUUCAGGUCCUUAGGGGAGAACUUCACCUCUGACUUAACAAACAUAUCAACCCAGGCCUUUCAAAACCGAGCAUUACUCAUUAAAACUCAGCUUGAACCUUUUUAUCAAUCAGCUUUCGUCUCUUUUUAUAGUUUAACUGUGACACAAUUCAGCUCUGGAUCCAUCAUUAAUCAUAUGGAUUUAGCAUUCUACUCCUCCUCUGUACCUAAUAAUAAAGAGAUUGGAACCAUUUUGAUAAAAGCUGCACAAAACAUCACAGUGUUCAACAUCGACUCCACCUCAGUGACUGUGAACAACACAGAUAUUUUUGCAGCAACUACGUUACCUCCAUCAUCUGCUGUAGUCACCCCUGUGGCAGAUACUACCACUUCAACAACUGGACAACCUCAUACUGUUCUCGUCACGGCUGCUACGACUGGACCCAGAAACACCACCACUACAUUGUUGUCUCCCUCAACAGUAUCAAAUAUAGCAUCAACCCUGGCCACACUAACUACCAGAACAACUCCAACCACCACUACAACCAACCCACAAACAACCUCUCUUACAAUAACUACAGCUGUGUCCAACAUCACAACAGCUUCUGUCAACACAACCAAAGCCGCCAAUACAACAACUACAGCUUCUGUCAACACAACCAAAGCCGCCAAUACAACAACAACUACAGCUUCUGUCAACACAACCAAAGCUGCCAACACAACAACAACUACAGCUUCUGUCAACACAACCAAAGCUGCCAAUACAACAACAACGACCACAGCUUCUGUCAACACAACCAAAGCUGCCAAUACAACAACAACGACCACAGCUUCUGUCAACACAACCAAAGCUGCCAAUACAACAACAACGACCACAGCUUCUGUCAACACAACCAAAGCUGCCAAUACAACAACAACGACCACAGCUUCUGUCAACACAACCAAAGCUGCCAAUACAACAACAAUGAUCACAGCUUCUCCCUCAACAAGCUUGGGUGCUUCAACAGUCUUUCAAGGUACUCCUACAGCAACUAUUUUUCAACCUUUAACUGUGGCUGGUACCACCACUAGAACAACUGGACAACCUGUCACUGUUCCUACGACUGGACCCAGAAACACAACCACUACAUUUGGGUCUCCCUCAACAGCAUCAAAUGCAGCAUCAACACUGGCCACACUAACUACCAGAACAACUCCAACCACCACUACAACCAGCGCACCAACAACUACUAAAACCACAACUGCAACUACUACAACAACUACAACAACUACAGCAACUACUAGGACAACCACCACAACUGCACCUAUUCAACCUGCUCCAGUGGUGGUUUUCAUCAUACAACAACUUUAUGUCCCACAAUUAAGUAACCCUGCGAGUACAGAGUUCCAAACCCUUGCAUUAACUGUUAUUGCAGCGUUUGAUGUGAUCUACAAAACAAAAUACGGAAGCUUCUUCAUUAGGACGAUAGUUCUCGCAUUCACACCUAUUACCCGUUCCCGGAGUGCAGACACGCAGGCUGAGGUGAAGCUGGUGUUUAACCAGACCGCCGCACAACCGGUACCUCAACUUGCUGAAAUUGGGGACACGCUAAAGGCAGCUCUGAACAGUUCCAACAGUACCAUCGGCAACCUCACAGUGGUGUCAGACUCCAUCAAAGUUACAGUACUCACCUCAAAUACAACAACUACUCCUGUCAUUACUUCCGCCAUCACAUCUACAACCCCUGCAACUACAACCACUACAGCUGUUCCACUCAGUAUGGUGCCUGUGGUAUUCAGGUCCUUAGGGGAGAUCUUCACCUCUGACCUAUCAAACUCAUCAACUCAGGCCUUUCAAAACCGAGCAUUACUCAUUAAAACUCAGCUUGAACCUUUUUAUCGAUCGGCUUUCAUCUCUUUUAAUAGUUUGACUGUGACAAAAUUCAGCUCUGGAUCCAUCAUAAAUACUAUGAAUUUAGCAUUCCUCUCCUCCUCGGUCCCUAAUAACACAGCGAUUGGCAACGUUUUGAUAAAUGCAGCUCGAAACAUCACAGCUUUCAACAUCGACCCCACCUCAGUGACAGUCAAUGGCACAGCUAACUCAGGUGUGGGCAGCAAGGCAAGUCUCUUCACAGCGUCCUGUCUGGUGGUUCUGUCAAUGCUCCUAUCAAGACAACAGUGAUCUCAGAGGCAGUCUCCUGAAAAAGCUCUCUCACUCACCGGAAAGUAGCAGAAUGAAAGAGUGUUGGUGGUCAAAAGUGUACGUGGGGGAAGAAUUUCCCACCCAUUCCCACCCUAAUUCCAUGAAAGAAUACAAUAAAGAACACAGAUGAAUGUGUUAUAAGCUGGAAUUAGAUGCAUAUGAGAGUUGAACACAAUUAGAUACUAUUUUAUAAUUACAACCUAAUAGUAUAUGUUGAAUAUACUACAUCAGAAGUAAAUAUUAUUUCCGUGCAAUGAACAAAACAAUUUUUUUUAGUUAAUAUAUAAUUGAGAUUAUUGGUUUUUCACAUGGCUGCUUUAAUAAAACAUACAUUAUUUGAGAGCAAUAUAGAGAAAUAUAUAUGAUUCAUGUUUUUACUUCAUGAGUUUGUUAUUUUAUUUGUGUGUGUGUGUGUGAUGAGAUGUCUCAGAUGUGUCUCAGGCCUCUAAACAUUUUAUCCGAAUAGAUCAUUGUAUGUAAGCCACGGUCAAUAUUAUCUUAGUAAUAAUGUUUGAGUAGGCCGCUCUUAGUAACAAUGUUUGAGUAAGCCACUGUUAGUAAUAAUGUAUGAGUAGGAACCGGUUAAUAUUAUCUUAAUAAUAAUGUAUAUGUAGGUCACUGUUAAUAUUUUCUUAGUAAUAAUGUACAUGUAGGCCACUGUAAAUAUUAUGAAAGUGAUACUCUAUAUGUAGGCCACUGUUAACAUUAUCAUUGUAAUAAUGUAU
Esox lucius (northern pike) is the source of this 4513-nucleotide long non-coding RNA. NCBI's taxonomy places the organism in Eukaryota, Metazoa, Chordata, Actinopteri, Esociformes, Esocidae. The record is from Ensembl.